GCGGAGGGAUCAUUACCGAGUUUACAACUCCCAAACCCCUGUGAACAUACCUAUACGUUGCCUCGGCGGAUCAGCCCGCGCCCUGUAAAAAGGGACGGCCCGCCCGAGGACCCUAAACUCUGUUUUUAGUGGAACUUCUGAGUAAAACAAACAAAUAAAUCAAAACUUUCAACAACGGAUCUCUUGGUUCUGGCAUCGAUGAAGAACGCAGCAAAAUGCGAUAAGUAAUGUGAAUUGCAGAAUUCAGUGAAUCAUCGAAUCUUUGAACGCACAUUGCGCCCGCCAGUAUUCUGGCGGGCAUGCCUGUUCGAGCGUCAUUUCAACCCUCAAGCUCAGCUUGGUGUUGGGACUCGCGGUAACCCGCGUUCCCCAAAUCGAUUGGCGGUCACGUCGAGCUUCCAUAGCGUAGUAAUCAUACACCUCGUUACUGGUAAUCGUCGCGGCCACGCCGUAAAACCCCAACUUCUGAAUGUUGACCUCGGAUCAGGUAGGAAUACCCGCUGAACUUAAGCAUAUC
Molecule: ribosomal RNA, 517 nt
Filed under: Fusarium equiseti
Lineage: Eukaryota; Fungi; Ascomycota; Sordariomycetes; Hypocreales; Nectriaceae
Description: eukaryotic LSU rRNA
Rfam family: 5.8S ribosomal RNA (bases 164-317)
Source: RNAcentral